UGUGGACAUGGUGGUGAGCCGUGGCAAGGACCAGAAUGGAUCACAGAUGAUCGUUGGCCAACAGGUGGCAGAAGAGGAAUUCCUGCCUUCCUCAAGAGGAACACCUACCCCUUGGCUAAUGCUGGGGUGGAGAUGGGGCAUGAGGAUCCUCCAGGGGAAAAGCUCACUACCACUGGGCAACAACCCUAGGUCAGGAGGUUCUGUCAAGAUACUUUCCUGGUCCCAGAUAGGAAGAUAAAGUCUCAAAAACAACCACCACACGUCAAGCUCUUCAUUGUUCCUAUCUGCCAAAUCAUUAUACUUCCUACAAGCAGUGCAGAGAGCUGAGUCUUCAGCAGGUCCAAGAAAUUUGAACACACUGAAGGAAGUCAGCCUUCCCACCUGAAGAUCAACAUGCCUGGCACUCUAGCACUUGAGGAUAGCUGAAUGAAUGUGUAUUUCUUUGUCUCUUUCUUUCUUGUCUUUGCUCUUUGUUCUCUAUCUAAAGUGUGUCUUACCCAUUUCCAUGUUUCUCUUGCUAAUUUCUUUCGUGUGUGCCUUUGCCUCAUUUUCUCUUUUUGUUCACAAGAGUGGUCUGUGUCUUGUCUUAGACAUAUCUCUCAUUUUUCAUUUUGUUGCUAUUUCUCUUUGCUCUCCUAGAUGUGGCUCUUCUUUCACGCUUUAUUUCAUGUCUCCUUUUUGGGUCACAUGCUGUGUGCUUUUUGUCCUUUUCUUGUUCUGUCUACCUCUCCUUUCUCUGCCUACCUCUCUUUUCUCUUUGUGAACUGUGAUUAUUUGUUACCCCUUCCCCUUCUCGUUCGUUUUAAAUUUCACCUUUUUUCUGAGUCUGGCCUCCUUUCUGCUGUUUCUACUUUUUAUCUCACAUUUCUCAUUUCUGCAUUUCCUUUCUGCCUCUCUUGGGCUAUUCUCUCUCUCCUCCCCUGCGUGCCUCAGCAUCUCUUGCUGUUUGUGAUUUUCUAUUUCAGUAUUAAUCUCUGUUGGCUUGUAUUUGUUCUCUGCUUCUUCCCUUUCUACUCACCUUUGAGUAUUUCAGCCUCUUCAUGAAUCUAUCUCCCUCUCUUUGAUUUCAUGUAAUCUCUCCUUAAAUAUUUCUUUGCAUAUGUGGGCAAGUGUACGUGUGUGUGUGUCAUGUGUGGCAGAGGGGCUUCCUAACCCCUGCCUGAUAGGUGCAGAACGUCGGCUAUCAGAGCAAGCAUUGUGGAGCGGUUCCUUAUGCCAGGCUGCCAUGUGAGAUGAUCCAAGACCAAAACAAGGCCCUAGACUGCAGUAAAACCCAGAACUCAAGUAGGGCAGAAGGUGGAAGGCUCAUAUGGAUAGAAGGCCCAAAGUAUAAGACAGAUGGUUUGAGACUUGAGACCCGAGGACUAAGAUGGAAAGCCCAUGUUCCAAGAUAGAUAGAAGCCUCAGGCCUGAAACCAACAAAAGCCUCAAGAGCCAAGAAAACAGAGGGUGGCCUGAAUUGGACCGAAGGCCUGAGUUGGAUGGAAGUCUCAAGGCUUGAGUUAGAAGUCUUAAGACCUGGGACAGGACACAUGGAAGGCCUAAGAACUGAGACUUGUGACACAAGGCCAACGACCUAAGAUUAGCCCAGGGUUGUAGCUGGAAGACCUACAACCCAAGGAUGGAAGGCCCCUGUCACAAAGCCUACCUAGAUGGAUAGAGGACCCAAGCGAAAAAGGUAUCUCAAGACUAACGGCCGGAAUCUGGAGGCCCAUGACCCAGAACCCAGGAAGGAUAGAAGCUUGAAGACCUGGGGAAAUCCCAAGAUGAGAACCCUAAACCCUACCUCUUUUCUAUUGUUUACACUUCUUACUCUUAGAUAUUUCCAGUUCUCCUGUUUAUCUUUAAGCCUGAUUCUUUUGAGAUGUACUUUUUGAUGUUGCCGGUUACCUUUAGAUUGACAGUAUUAUGCCUGGGCCAGUCUUGAGCCAGCUUUAAAUCACAGCUUUUACCUAUUUGUUAGGCUAUAGUGUUUUGUAAACUUCUGUUUCUAUUCACAUCUUCUCCACUUGAGAGAGACACCAAAAUCCAGUCAGUAUCUAAUCUGGCUUUUGUUAACUUCCCUCAGGAGCAGACAUUCAUAUAGGUGAUACUGUAUUUCAGUCCUUUCUUUUGACCCCAGAAGCCCUAGACUGAGAAGAUAAAAUGGUCAGGUUGUUGGGGAAAAAAAAGUGCCAGGCUCUCUAGAGAAAAAUGUGAAGAGAUGCUCCAGGCCAAUGAGAAGAAUUAGACAAGAAAUACACAGAUGUGCCAGACUUCUGAGAAGCACCUGCCAGCAACAGCUUCCUUCUUUGAGCUUAGUUUCUGGCAUCACUACCACUACUGAUUAAACAAGAAUAAGAGAACAUUUUAUCAUCAUCUGCUUUAUUCACAUAAAUGAAGUUGUGAUGAAUAAAUCUGCUUUUAUGCAGACACAAGGAAUUAAGUGGCUUCGUCAUUGUCCUUCUACCUCAAAGAUAAUUUAUUCCAAAAGCUAAGAUAAAUGGAAGACUCUUGAACUUGUGAACUGAUGUGAAAUGCAGAAUCUCUUUUGAGUCUUUGCUGUUUGGAAGAUUGAAAAAUAUUGUUCAGCAUGGGUGACCACCAGAAAGUAAUCUUAAGCCAUCUAGAUGUCACAAUUGAAACAAACUGGGGAGU
RNAcentral lists this long non-coding RNA (2637 nucleotides) under Homo sapiens (human). Its description in RNAcentral is "non-protein coding XIST:9". The record is from RNAcentral. Lineage: Eukaryota; Metazoa; Chordata; Mammalia; Primates; Hominidae.